GUCCACGCCCUAAACGAUGUCAACUGGUUGUUGGGGUUUGACACUCUCAGUAACGAAGCUAACGCGUGAAGUUGACCGCCUGGGGAGUACGGCCGCAAGGUUAAACUCAAAGGAAUUGACGGGACCCGCACAAGCGGUGGAUUAUGUGGAUUAAUUCGAUGCAACGCGAAAACCUUACCUACCCUUGACAUGUCCUGGAGGCUCCAGAAAUGGGGCUGUGCCCCGAAAGGGAACGGGAACACAGGUGCUGCAUGGCUGUCGU
RNAcentral lists this ribosomal RNA (262 nucleotides) under uncultured bacterium. RNAcentral's name for it is "partial 16S ribosomal RNA". It matches the Rfam family "Bacterial small subunit ribosomal RNA", at positions 793 to 1055 of the family's 1533-position model. The record is from RNAcentral.